ACGCACGCUGGCGGCGUGCCUAAUCCAUGCAAGUUGAGCGAUGAAGAUUGGUGCUUGCCCCAAUUUGAAGAGCAGCGAACGGGUGAGUAACGCGUGGGGAAUCUGCCUUUGAGCGGGGGACAACAUUUGGAAACGAAUGCUAAUACCGCAUAACAACUUUAAACAUAAGUUUUAAGUUUGAAAGAUGCAAUUGCAUCACUCAAAGAUGAUCCCGCGUUGUAUUAGCUAGUUGGUGAGGUAAAGGCUCACCAAGGCGAUGAUACAUAGCCGACCUGAGAGGGUGAUCGGCCACAUUGGGACUGAGACACGGCCCAAACUCCUACGGGAGGCAGCAGUAGGGAAUCUUCGGCAAUGGACGAAAGUCUGACCGAGCAACGCCGCGUGAGUGAAGAAGGUUUUCGGAUCGUAAAACUCUGUUGGUAGAGAAGAACGUUGGUGAGAGUGGAAAGCUCAUCAAGUGACGGUAACUACCCAGAAAGGGACGGCUAACUACGUG
RNAcentral lists this ribosomal RNA (496 nucleotides) under uncultured bacterium. RNAcentral's name for it is "partial 16S ribosomal RNA". It matches the Rfam family "Bacterial small subunit ribosomal RNA", at positions 29 to 507 of the family's 1533-position model. The record is from RNAcentral.